AGUCACUGACAUUAGAUACCCCCGUAGUCCAGGGUGUAAACGCUGCAGACUUGGUGUUGGAAGUCCUUUGGGGGCAUCCAGUGCCGGAGAGAAGUUGUUAAGUCUGCUACUUGGGGAGUACGUCCGCAAGGAUGAAACUUAAAGGAAUUGGCGGGGGAGCACCGCAACGGGAGGAGCGUGCGGUUUAAUUGGAUUCAACACCGUAAACUCACCAGGGAAGACUGUUACAUGAAAGCCGGGAUGAAGACUCUGCUAGAUUUUCAG
This 264-nucleotide ribosomal RNA is filed under the name uncultured archaeon. RNAcentral describes it as "partial 16S ribosomal RNA". It matches the Rfam family "Archaeal small subunit ribosomal RNA", at positions 718 to 982 of the family's 1478-position model. The record is from RNAcentral.